UCCAAGAAACUGUUAGAUUUGUUUUGUAGUCAAAUUCUUAUCUGGAAACUUUAAUAACUCCUAAGCGUGGAGUCCAGGAUGGUAUUUUUCACUUUCAAAUUGCAUUCCUAGAAAUUCAAUAUUAGUCCGAGCCAACUGACUCUUUUUUUGAGAUAACAUGAUCCCAUACUUCUGGACUAAAGCUUAGAACUGAGCCAAAAGUUUCUUAUGGGUUGAGACAUCUUUUGAGAAUAAUAGGAUGUCAUCAAUAUAGUUGCAAGGAUAUACAGAGCAUAUGAAGAGACUCUUGGUCGGGACGACAAAUAACAACAUGAUCUUGAAGGCGAUAAAUGAUUUGGUAGUGUAGAGUUGCUGCCAUGGAUAAUAUUGUUCAGCUCGAACUAAUUGAACUUAAAGUUUUAGGGCUGUGGGAAGAUUUGGAUCAAGAUGGAUCGGAUUGUGUUCGGAUAAAAUGCAUCUCUACAGUAAGACCAAAAAAAAACUAUGCAUUCGCUUAGUGCCAAGAGAAACUGCUGCUUACAAUGGCCAAAAGCCUAAUCUAACUGCUAAUUCAAGGCAAUCCAUACUACAAACAUAAACUUCAAAUUUACUUAUAACCCAAAUCAGCAUAUCUAAGAAGUAGCUUAUUUUCUGAUGAUUACAAGAGCAAGUAAAUGAUACACACAAAAAAUUCAAGAACAUUAAUAUUCUAAUCCUAAAAAGAAUCCACGAAAACAUACUGUAAUAGAAAGAAUUCAAAGCUUUUCAGCUACAGUUUCAACCAGACCCAAAGCAUUCAUUGCUCACAGGAAGAUUAAAAAAUGAUAAUAAGAGCUUGAUCACAGAACUUUCCUUAACUUGAAACGAAAUGCCUCAUACCAACAGCACCAUUUGUAUCUUAAACCCAAAAGAGAAAAUAGGAAAAGUUUAUACCGUGCAAGCCGUAAAUGACAAGAGAAAAAGCUUGGUCAUUAAAACUGAGCUUGAUAGACGGCUGAAUAAACGAGGGAACAAUGAGAUUUCCAGCUUGCACAGCCAUCCUCGCUAAUUCAUCUUCACCAACACUUCCGUUUGAAUUCCCACCCAAUUCCGUGGUGGAAAGUGAGGAUAGUUGAUAGAUGGAAUUGGAUUGUUUGGUGGGAUAUGAGAUGCAAAUAGGAAGGAAACGAGAAGGUUUGGAAGAGUGAUGUAUUACGGAAAGGAAGCAAUUAGAGAGUGGAUUUGAGGGUCUGGGAAAGGGAAUUGAAUUCCUUGAAGUUACUGAAUUCAAAGCCCGAAAAGAAUUGAGAGUCG
Molecule: unclassified non-coding RNA, 1272 nt
Filed under: Hevea brasiliensis (rubber tree)
Lineage: Eukaryota; Viridiplantae; Streptophyta; Magnoliopsida; Malpighiales; Euphorbiaceae
Source: RNAcentral